RNAcentral lists this ribosomal RNA (404 nucleotides) under uncultured bacterium. RNAcentral's name for it is "bacterial SSU rRNA". It matches the Rfam family "Bacterial small subunit ribosomal RNA", at positions 355 to 776 of the family's 1533-position model. The record is from RNAcentral.
UGGGGAAUUUUGCGCAAUGGGCGCAAGCCUGACGCAGCGACGCCGCGUGCGGGAGGAAGGCCCUCGGGCCGUAAACCGCUUUCGGCAGGGAAGAAACCUGACUGUACCUGCAGAAGAAGCCCCGGCUAACUACGUGCCAGCAGCCGCGGUAACACGUAGGGGGCGAGCGUUGUCCGGAUUCAUUGGGCGUAAAGGGCGCGCAGGCGGCCCGGCAAGCGGUGCCUCUAAGCCCGGGGCUCAACCCCGGGACGGGCGCCGAACUUCCGGGCUCGAGCGCGGUAGAGGAGGACGGAAUUCCCGGUGUAGCGGUGGAAUGCGCAGAUAUCGGGAGGAACACCGAUGGCGAAGGCAGUCCUCUGGGCCGUCGCUGACGCUGAGGCGCGAAAGCCGGGGGAGCGAACAGG